UAAUUGGCAGCCUCGAAUUACUCAAUUUCAUAAUCAACAAAAUAUAUUUUUAUUUGUCACAUUUAUUUCUAAAACAUCAAAAAUCCCGUUUUAAUCUCGUUUUCAUUUCAUAAAAUACAUAAAGAGCAUUUAAAAAUAAACUCUAGAUAAUUUACAAUAAUAAUAGGUUUCUCACCGUUCGUACAAAUUAACUGAUUUUUUUAGGUGCCUCGAUCACUGUUCGUCGGGUACGACUUCCUUGCCUUUAUCGGAAGGCUCUCCUCCUAAACACAUUGCAAAAUUUACCCAAUUCACCACAUUGAUGUUAAAUCUCUAUAUAAUUGACUUAAAUCCUAUACUAAUGCAUGGUAUGAAAUGCAAUUGCCUAAAACGGCUUAAACGCAGUAUUAACCUAUUUUUGGCACUUUACCAGUUAAAUUGCUAACGCGCUCCAUUUUAGCUAUAAAUUGUCAUAUUUUCUCCACAACAUUUCUAACCAUUAAAUAUUAACCAAUAACCUUCUAAAAUCACCAAAAUCAGCUCACUUUCCUCCUUGGAAAAUUCGGUCAAAAAUGGAACAUUUACUCGGUUAAUUUUCCACUUUGUUUUUCUAUCACAUUUAACCAUUUUUCAUCAUUUUCUCUUCAUUUCUCUUAGAAUAAAAAUCAGUUCAUCAUCAUUGUACAUCAAUGCAUAUUCAGCCAAGGGUGGGUAUUGUGAAAAUUUCAUGCUUUCUUGCCCAAUUUAAUUUCUAUACACAUUUAACUAACUAAAACUACCAAUUUAACUAAAAAUCAAAACCUAAAAAUUUUAAAAUCUCUCCCCUAGAAUUUCGGCCAACCCUUGGUUUCACUUUUUGAUCUCUCUCCUCAAGCAUGCUUAAUGGAAAUAAAGGCAUAGGAAAGGUAAAAAUCAAGCUAAAAUUGAAAAAUCUUACCGUUAGACUCGUAAACGGAGAAAAAACGCGAUUUCCCCUUUGAAUUUUCUAGUUUUCCUUUGUUUUUCUCUUUUCUUCCUUUCCUCACUAUUUUAUCUCUUGUUCUUUCCUUAUGGCCAGUCAACACUUAAUAUGGGGUUUAAAUGGGCUGACUUUUCAUUAAUAUAAGAUUAAAUCAUUAAAAAGUGCCAUGUGUCACUUUCCCAUUGGCCCGUUUUUAAAAUUUCAUCCAUUUGUUUCCAAAUUUUCACCAUACACUUGUCCCACAUAUCCAUAGCUUAGAUACAAUUCUCAGACUUAUCCAAAGUCUUGGUGGAGUAAUUUUUGAAAUUUACACUUUUACCACCGUAAAAGUAAAAAAUUACAUUUUUGCCCAAAAACUGAAAAAUUGCCCAUAGACAUAUUUUUCAUCCCUUAUACUCAUACCAUUUCCCAAUUUGUCAAAUUUGAUCUAAAUUCUCUCAAAAUCUCAAAUUUUAUCCUCGAGUGGCAAAAUUACGAUUUUAUCCCUAAACAUCAAAAUUUCCAAUUUUACCCCAAAUGAACCCUUGAACUCCGAACAAUCAUUUUUAGUCAUUCUUGGACUAUAAAAUAUUAAAUUUCAUCCUACAAUUCCUAUUUGAACUAGUUCGAGGUUAAAUCAACUCAAGUGUACCGUUAGGUACAAUACCGGGUUCCAUCAUUCUUAGGACUUUCUUAGUGUAAUAACAUGCUACUCAAUGCAUGUAUGUCAUGACAUGUGUUUAUAGGGUCGGGUUUUACACCGUGCCUCUCUAAUAGGUUGGUCCACAAAAUCAGCCCACUGCAGCAAGCUAAACCCACCAUACAAUAAAAAUUCAACAGCAUGAUAUGGCAAUUUUAUCAUUAUCCAGCCUAUCAAGGCGAACAACAGUUUAUACAUUUCAACACAAAUACCAAUUCAGUCAUGCAUGCCAAUAUUGUCAUAAGCCAAUCAAUUAGAACUAUAAAUUCACAAUACAUCAAAUGGUCUCCAAUUACUCUAUUUUCAAAGCCUUCAUUCAAUUUCAAGACCAUUUAUGAAAUCAUUUUAUUUAAACACAUUUUGUUUAUAAAACCUAAAAAUUUACCAUUUAAACUCAUUUUUCAUAAAAUCACAAAAUCGGAUAAAAACCACUAUAGAUAAUUAAGACGAUAGUAAGGUUCACAAUGUCUAGAGUGCGAAUUUUCAAAGUACUUUGACUACUGGUCCUCGGAUGCAAUUUCCUUACCUUAAUCGGAAGACUCACCACCUUGACAUAGUACAAAAUCGAGAAACUUACUACAUUGGUACUAAAUCGAAAUUAAACUAAUUUAGACUACUAAUGCAUGAUAUGGAAUGCAAAAUGCACGAGUAACCAACUAAACCCAUAUUGGCCUAAUUCGUCUUAUCACCCGAUUAAUUGGCCAACGUGUCCAAUUUAGCUCCAAAUUGCUCCAUUUCUUUUCCAAUACCUUAAUUCACCAAACACAAGUCAAAUAACCUAAAAUUUGGCAAAACCAUCUUCACUUUUCUUCUUAGAAUUUUCGGUCAAUAAUGGUGCAUUAACACCGUGAUGUUUCCUACUACUUUUCCACACCAUAAUUCAUCAUUUUCUAACCAAUUCUCUUAAAAUAAAAAAUCAAAUUCAUCCUCACUCAAUACAAGGUAGGUUCGGCCAUUGAUGGGUGCUGGGGAAAAUGAAUUCUUUUUUUAUUGUUUUGCUUCUAGAUAUGGUAUACUAACUAAAAACACUAACAUAACUUGAAAUCAAAUGAAUCCAACAUCAUUCUCUCUUCAUACCCAUUCAGCUAGCCAUGAAUUCACCAUGAAAACAUGAAAUUUAACCAUGAAAAAUAAGGAGAAAUGCUUAAGGAAAAUAGAUUUCAAGUUUAAAUUGAGAAAUCCUACCUUUUUCACUUGUUUUCCUUGAUUUUCCACACUUUUUCUCUUGUAAUUCUCCACCUAGGAUUCUUGUUCUUUCUUUUCUUCCUUUGUUCUUCUUUGGCCGGC
RNAcentral lists this long non-coding RNA (2906 nucleotides) under Theobroma cacao (cacao). RNAcentral describes it as "long non-coding RNA (TCAC_LNC000493)". Lineage: Eukaryota; Viridiplantae; Streptophyta; Magnoliopsida; Malvales; Malvaceae. The record is from RNAcentral.